RNAcentral lists this ribosomal RNA (497 nucleotides) under uncultured bacterium. RNAcentral describes it as "partial 16S ribosomal RNA". It matches the Rfam family "Bacterial small subunit ribosomal RNA", at positions 28 to 507 of the family's 1533-position model. The record is from RNAcentral.
GAUGAACGCUGGCGGCGUGCCUAAUACAUGCAAGUCGAGCGAACGGACGAGAAGCUUGCUUCUCUGAUGUUAGCGGCGGACGGGCGAGUAACACGUGGAUAACCUACCUAUAAGACUGGGAGAACUUCGGGAAACCGUAGCUAAUACCGGAGAAUAUUUUGAACCGCAGGGUUCAAAAGUGAAAGACGGUCUUGCUGUCACUUAUAGAUGGAUCCGCGCUGCAUUAGCUAGUUGGUAAGGUAACGGCUUACCAAGGCAACGAUGCAUAGCCGACCUGAGAGGGUGAUCGGCCACACUGGAACUGAGACACGGUCCAGACUCCUACGGGAGGCAGCAGUAGGGAAUCUUCCGCAAUGGGCGCAAGCCUGACGGAGCAACGCCGCGUGAGUGAUGAAGGUCUUCGGAUCGUAAAACUCUGUUAUUAGGGAAGAACAGAUGUGUAAGUAACUGUGCACAUCUUGACGGUACCUAAUCAGAAAGCCACGGCUAACUACGUG